CAUUUCACGUUGACCAUGCUGAGACUUAUGGCGUUAUCCUGGGCAGCCGCGGAUGCUGGCUCAAGAGCAACGACAAGGCGUUGUCAUCAAUUGGGCUCAAUGUCACACGGAAGAUGAAAGAACACCUCAGCUGGUUGACAUUCGAAAACACGAUCCGAAUCUACAACUCAUUCAUGAAAAACUGAGUUGUUCUUGUUGUUGUUUCUUUUUCCUUUUACUAUACUUUCUUGUUUCAUUGUUAUUAUUUGUUGUUUUAUCUUACAUUUUACCGUCGGCAAUUCCAUUGUUAUUAUUACUGUUACUGGUAUUAUUAUUACUAUUGUUAUUACGUUUACUACUAUUUUCUUUGCUCUCGCGAACGUUCGUUGUUGUUACUUUUGGACCCGGUUUAAAGAAAUCGCACGCACAGCGGAACUGGACCGCCUAAACCAGAAACAUUAAAGUAACAAUAGCCAAAUGCCUCGUCAUCUAAUUAGUGACGCGUAUGAAUGGAUCAACAAGAUUCCUUCUGUCCCUAUCUACUAUCUAGCGAAACCACAGCCAAGGGAACGGGCUUGGCAAAAUCAGCGGGGAAAGAAGACCCUGUUGAGCUUGACUCUAGUCUGACUCUGUGAAGAGACAUGAAAGGUGUAGCAUAGGUGGGAGAUUGUCCCCUCUCCUCUUCAACUCAGUCAUGGACGAGUUGAUAGAGCGCCUCGAACAAAGUGGAGUGGGUUAUAAAAUCAAUAACACUGAGGUCGUAACACUGGCGUUCGCGGACGACGUAACUUUAGUCAGUAGAAGUCACAGGGGAAUGGAAAAACUUCUCUCCAUCACCCACGACUUCAUUAAU
RNAcentral lists this non-coding RNA (832 nucleotides) under Trichinella nelsoni. Its description in RNAcentral is "Eukaryotic large subunit ribosomal RNA". It matches the Rfam family "Eukaryotic large subunit ribosomal RNA", at positions 2193 to 2524 of the family's 3401-position model. Lineage: Eukaryota; Metazoa; Nematoda; Enoplea; Trichinellida; Trichinellidae. The record is from Rfam by way of RNAcentral.